GCAUUUGUAAUAGAUUAAGAAUUUGGAUGAAUGAAAUAGAAAAUGCAAAAAUGUAGAAUUUUGUUUCUUGUGUUUUUUUGUGAUAGAAUGCAUGAAUAUUUGGAGCAUUCAAGUGGGACUUGAUCUAUCUUACUUGUGGAGUGCUUUGAAGAUCAAGGUUGAUGGGAGUUUCUAACUUUUUUCGAUCCUUGGUUCCUUAGAUCAUCUAAGUAAUCUGAAUCUAGCCUAUCUUAGGGGUUGAGAUCAAAUCAGUUUUGGAACUAUUGGGGUUGAGUUCUUUAGGUCUUGUUGUUCAACAUGGUUCUUAGAUCUGAUGCUUGGGGGUCUCAUAUCAUUUGGUAUAAGAGUGUUGGCUCUAGAUCAGGUAUAUCUUUCCAUUGUUGCAAUAGCUUUCUUAUUCUUCUAUUUCAAUUUUUUUUCUAGUCAUCUUGUCACCUUCUGUCCAUUAGAUAAAAACUAAGGAAAAAAAAGUGACAAUUCUUAUUUUCAUUUUAUAUUUUUGUCUUCUUCAAAGUUUUAGAUCUGAGUGUCAUCUACAAAAUUGCUUUCUUCAAGAUCUUCCAAUUUGGUUUCCUUCCAUGUCAAAUGUUCUCGUUUUGAAAAUCUGUAAAAAAAAUUGUGCAAUUCGAGAGAUUUUUUGUUGAACAUUGUUGUUCAUGGAUUCAAGUAUAAGAAGACAACCACCAAUAGCUGCAUUCAAAAGAGAUUCUUUAAAUUCAAGGACGAAUCUUCUUGAAGAAGAGGAGAAUGAUACGAACCAAGAAAUCACAUUUUCAUUAAAUGAACUUGAAGAUGAUAUGAAUCAGAAUAAUUAAGUUUCCAUGCAAAUUUUAGAUAUUUUUAAUUAAUUUUCAGCAAUUUAGAAUUUAAUUCAAGUAUUUAAAUUAUGGACAUUGAGUUUAAAGAUAGAUAUUGAAAAGAUGAUGGUUAUUUUAAUGAAGAUGCAUUGAAGAUGAAGACUAGUCAAAGAUGGUAGCUACCAUUAAUAGAUUGUGCUUUAAAGAUGGUGGUUGGAAGAUAAUUGUUGGAAGAUGAAGAACUUCUUUAGUGUUUUAUUUUUACUUUACGUACUUACAUUAAAUAUAGUAGAAUCUAUACAAGGCUAUAUAAAGUCUUCUAUGACAUUUGUAAUAGAUUAAGAAUUUGGAUGAAUGAAAAAGAAAAUUCAAAAUUAUAGAAUUUUGUUUCUUGUGAGUUUUUGUGAUAGAAUACAUGAAUAUUUGGAGCAUUCAAGUGAGGCUUGAUUUGUCUUGCGCUUGGAGUUCUUUAAAGAUCUUAGGUUGAUGAGAGUUUCUUCCUUUGUUUGAUCUUUGAUUCAUUAGAUCACCUAAGUAAUCUGAAUGUAGCCUAUCUUAGGGGAUUAGAUCAAAUCGGUUUUGGGGCUAUUGGGAUUGAAUUCUUUGGGUCUUGUUGUUCAAUAUGCUUCUUAGAUCUGAUGCCUAGGGGUCUCAUAUCAUUGAUGAUAUGAAUCGAGACCGAUAAGUUGAAUUAGUGUGAGGUUUUUAAAGUAUGUAUAUUUUCGAUGUUAAUUCCCCCAAAAUUGUGUUGAUUAUUAGCUUUAAUUGCUAAUUUUGUAGGAUUAAACGAUACCCGAAGCAUUUUGGAGUUAUUACAAGAAAAUUGUGCCAAAAAGAUAAAAAUGACCAAGAAAAUCAACAAAUUGAAGAGAAUCGAGUAAACACCCUAGAGUGCAUCGAGUAAGGCUGUUAGAUCAUCAACCAUCGAGUAUUUAACAGAAUACUGUCAAAUAGCAUCGAAUAAAGAAUAUCGAGUUUUCAACCAUCUUCCAUUGAGUCAUCGAGUUUCUUCUAAUUCAUUUUCCAUCGAGUUAGAAUGAUCGAGUAAAGAGCAUUCUGAACGUCGAGGAUCGUGUAUUGAUCGUUGAGUGUCGAGGAGCGAGUACUAAACAGAAAAAUUCAUUGCCUUCGUUCUUCUUUUCGAAUUUUGACGCGAUCCAUCCAUGUGCUUCGUGACGAUUUCUUGCUGGUAUAAAUGAGUUCAGUUCUUUAGAGUGAGGGAGAUAGAUAUCAUUUUUUUUUUAGAAAAUCCACCAUUCUCUUGAGAGAAAAAAACUUAGAAGAAGAAAAAACCCAUUUUUUUUAUAGAGAGAUUCCGAUUUUCAAGAGUGAUUCUUGUAAUUUUCUAUGAGAUUGAGUCGAUUUAUACUCAGAUUUGUAUCAAUAUGCAACUAUCAAUGGAAUGCUUAAAAAACUUCAACUUCCGUGAGUAGGUAAAUCUUUUUCUUGGGGUACUAUGUAAUUAGGCAUUUCUUGAGACUUUUCUUGAAUUUUCUUUCAUGUAAUUACUUUCUUUUGUAUGUUCUUGCUAAGAUUUAAAAUAAAAUUGAUUAAGAUUGAAUUGACGAAUCGAGAUUAAUCCAUUUUUAUAUGCAAAAAUUAUAUGGUUCUAUAACAAAAUUGUAAUUGUAGUUGUAAGAAUUAGUAGUCUUGAUAGAAAAUGUGGACUUUUUUUCCUCCUUUCUUUAAAGAAUCUAUUAAUUCAGAACAUUCAUGUAAUCGAUCUUGAUUUUUCAGUCUUUUGAUUUCAAAAUUGGAAUAGUUAAGAAAACCCAUGAGUUUAAUGUAAUUUAGGGAUUAGUUGUGAAAUGUCUUUAGGAAGUAAUUAAGACCUAAAUUAGGGCUAAUUGUGAAAUUAGCUAAUUAGGGCAUUAGGAAUUUAUUCUUAAUGAACUAUUGAAUAAUCUAAUUGCAUGAUUUCUUAUCAAGUCAAUGAUAGAAUUUCCUAGUUAUAUAAAAUCCCUAAGAUUUUAUUUCCAUUUAAUUUUAUCUCACAAUCUCUUCUUUAUUUCUCUCACUAAUAAAUUUCCUAUAUCAAUUCUUGUCUUUUGCUUAGUUGGUUUCUUUUAGUUCUUAAACAAACAAAUCCCCCAUUUAAUCUUUUGCAUUUAGGAAUUCAAUAGUCAAUUUUUGGGCCAAUUAUUUGCGGUUCUCUUGGGAUCGACCUCUUACUUCCACUAUUACUACGUGUUAGUUCUAGUUGUAGUUAGAGUUUAAAUAAAUUUCAUUCAUUUUGGGUAGAUAGAAUUAACGACACUUACUUUACACCGAACAAUCAGUAAAGUAUAGUUGUUUUUAAUUAAUUUUUAGCAUUUUAGUUUUAGAGUUAUUUGUUGCCUUUACUUAAUUUCUAGCUUUUAAAUGUUAAAUUUAAGUCUUGGUAAUUAUGGAGAUGCAUAGAAGAUGGUGGUUGGAAAGAUGGAGGUUGUCAUUAAUGAUGUUACAUUAAAGAUGGUGGUUGGAAGAUGGUAUUUGGAAGAUAACUCUUUAAUGUUUUAUGUUGACUUUUGCUACUUUAUAUUAAUUGUAUUAGAAUCUCUACAAGGCUAUAUAAAGCCUUCUCCCCACCCAUCUGUAAUUAGAUUAAAAAGAUUGGGAUUUUUGUGAAUGAAAUUUGAGAUCUCAUAUUUGAGACUUUUCCAUUAUAAUUUUACACUUUUUGUUAUAGAAUGCAUGUGAGCCCUCAAUCUAGAACAAGAUUUUCCAAUCUUGCUUCUAAAUCUUCGAUCAAGAAAUAAUCUAAUUCUAGCCUUUCUCUCGGGAUUGAACUAAAUCGUAUAGGGAAGUGUUAAUUUCUUAGAUUCAAAGGUUCUUGCUACAUAAUAGCUUGGGUCUUUGAGCUGAGGGUUAGAGUUGCCUUAUCAUUUGGUAUCAUUGCAGAAGUUUCAUUUUUUUAUGUCCCACUCUAGAAUUGAUUCUAUCUUUCUUCGUUGUUUUUGCAUUUUUAUUCAAAUUUUCAAUUUUGUUCAUUUAGUUCUUUUUUUUUUUUUCAUCCAUUGUUCUUCUUCUUUCUUUAUCUUAUUUUAAUCUUAUUGAUCAAAUUUAGAUCUUUGAAAGAAAAAAAGUUAAAAAAAAGCAAAAAAAGCAAAACAUAAGCCAAAAAUAAGUGAAAAAAACCAGAAUUUGUUCUUGCAAUUAUUCAUGCAAAUUGUGUGCUUAAUCUUGGAUAUUUGAACCAAUUUGACAUGAUUAAGUUAUUAUAUUAACUAUUUCUAUCUUUUGUCAUUCCCUAGAUCAAUUGCAUGUUCAUUUGAGUGUCUUUUCAGCUUUCUGUCAUUAAAUGCUGAAACUAAUUCAAAUAUGAAAUUGUUGACCUUUCUUCUUGUUUUUAAUUUUCUUUCUGAACGUAAACGGCCAAAUUUGACUCUGGGUCAUUCAACAAAGUUUUAGACCAGCCUUGUAUCUUGAAUUGUUAAUAAGAGAAUUUCGUCAAAUUCAUUGCAUAAUGCCCUUAUAUUUGCAAUUCCAUUUCUGUGUCAGUUUUAUUCGAAAACUACUUUGUAUUUUUCCUUAUUUGUUUGAGUUUUUUAUUGUUUUCUUAUUCUUUUUGAGCUUAUUUCAUAAAUAUCUUGUCUUGCUUAUAUUGAAUAGCUCUCUAUUUCAAGAAUUGCUUAUUUCACAUAAGUCUACCAAAUACAUAAUUUAACCACUUUCCCAAAUAGCCUACCUUUUUGUGCGUGAGUGUUCUUGAGUGAACAAUUCGUAAAUUUUGAGAUCUAUUCCUUUUCAUUUAAGAUCAUGUUUCAUCAAGAAAGAAAUUGCCAUGAGAGGUACAAUAGCAAUGAAAGUUUUUGGAAGACUUUUGACAAUAGUUUGGUUGAGUUACAUCAAGUGGUUGAUUGCCUAUCUAAAUUGACUCAAGAAUUGAAUCUACGAGAUCAAAAUUUCAAAAAGGUCAGUCUAUCUACUAAAAGUAUGCCCAUUGUGUUUGUAGAUAGUGAUAAAGUUUAAGAUGACAUACCUUGUGAAAAACUAGAUGAUUUUAUUGAACACCUAAUAUUGAAGUCCAUGUUGAUGUGUUUGAGUUAGAGGAAAAGACAGAAAAGGCCAAAUCAAAAGCAUAUAGAUUGAUUUAAAAAUAAUCUCGUGAGAAAAGGAGUGAAAAAGAAAAGAUGAGGUUAGUUUAUGGCCUAGAGAGGAAAAUGAGAGAAAAGUUGAAAAGAUGAGCUUAUUUAAGAGAGCUAGUGAGGUUAAAUUUAUUUUUCUCCAAAACAAAAUAUUUUUUAUCUUCUAUACAAAAAAAAAAAAAAAAAAAAAAAAAAAAACUUGUUUUCUAAUGGUUGAGCUCAAGCCAUGUUUUUCUAGUGUUUCUUUUGAGUUCUUACAGGAGGCCAAAGCACUUAUAAAGAUGCUUGAUUUGAAGAUUGCUUCAAAUGUCAACAAUGAAAUACAACAUAUACACUUUAAGGUCAAAUCAUUUAUUUAAAGGCACAACUCCAAAUUUGCUUCAAAAUUCGAGCAUGCUAGCAAGCAUAAAGUGUUUAAAGUGAGGAACUGGGUGUGGAGACACUUUUGGAAAUAUCGUUGUUGUUUUCCGAAGAAACCCAAGUGUAAGUCCAUCGACGACUUGCAUAUGAAAUUCCAUGACUACAAGAUUACUCUACAAGGUGACGGAGAUGUAAAUUAGUUUUUGAAUUCCGUUGAGUUUAGUCCAUUCGAUGUAGGAGAUAUUUUUAGAUUCGAGGACGAAUCCUUUUGAAGAGGGGAAAGAUGAUAUGGAUCGGGAUCGAUGAGUUGCAUUAGUAAACUUUAGUUAUUUUUAAUUAAUUUCCAACAUUUUAAUUUUAGAGUUAUUUGUUGUCUUUAAUUAAUUUCUAGCUUUUAAGUGUUAAAUUUAAGUCUUGUAAUUAUGGAGAUGUAUGGAAUAUGGUGGUAGAGAGGAUGGAGGUUAUCAUCAAUGAUGUUACAUUCAAGAUAGUGGUUGGAAGAUGGUGAAUUGAAGAUUGUGGUUGGAAGAUGAAGAACUCUUUAAUGUUCUUUUGUUGACUUUUGCUACUUUACAUUAAUUGUAUUAGAAUCUCUACAAGGCUAUAUAAAGCCUUCUCCCCAUCCAUCUAUAAUCAGAUUAAAAAGAUUAUGACUUUUAUGAAUGAAAUUUGUGAUAUCAUAUUUGAGAUUUGUUUCUUAGAAUUUUACAAUUCUUGUGAUAGAAUGCAUGUGAGUCAUUCAAUUUAACCUUGACCAAGUUGAUUAUGGAGUGACUCUUAUUUAGAACAAGAUUUCCCAAUCUUGCUUCUAUAUCUUCAAUCAAGAGGUAAUCUAAUUCUAGUCUUUUUCUCCAGGUUGAACUAAAUUGUGCAUGGAGGUGUUAAUUUCUUAGAUUCCAAGGUUCUUGCUACAUAAAAGCUUGGGUCUUUGGGCUGAGGGUUAAGGUUGCCUUAUUACUUGUUUUCCUGUUUAAUAAAGCUUCAACAACAAACUUCUCUUUUCGGGUGUCCAAAUGAAAUUGGCUUCAGUAUAACAAUAGCUAACUAAAAACUCGUUAAACCCAAUCCUUGAGAAAGAUACCCUAGUCAAGAUUUUAUUACUUCGAUAUGUAAGCUUGCAUGCUGCUGUCAAUCAUGGAGUCAUUACGUGAGAUGUUUGUGCAACUUUCCACACAUCUAGAGCAUGACACCCUCAACUUCAUCUUCAAUGCUAGAAUGAACGAGGGAUCGUUUGUUAGGGAACAUGCCAUAAUAUGAUAAUCCAAUUCAAUGUGGCCGAGAUGAAUGAGGUUUUCAUAGAUGAGUCUAGUCAUGUAAGCUUUAUUCUGGAGACUCUUCCAAAGAGUUUCCUACUGUUCCACAACAAUGCUAUAAUGAGCAAAAUCGAAUAUAACCUUACCACCCUUCUAAAAGAAUUGUAGACUUACGAGUCCUUGAUGAAAGUCAAAGGAAACAAUGGGGAGGAAAAUGUUGCUAGUUCCUCAAAAAAUUUCCAUAAGGGUUCUACCUCUAAGACUAAGUUUGCGCCUUCUUCCUCAGGCUCUAAGAAGUGGAAGAAGAAGAAAGGUGGUAAGGGGAAGAACAAAACUACCCCACUUGCUACUUCCCAAAAGGGCAAAAAGGUCAAGGUUACAAAGGGAACCUAUUUUCAUCGCAACCAAGAUGGGCAGUGGAAACAAAAUUACCUAGAGUACUUGGCCGACAAGAAGAAGGAAAAAGAAGGAAACUUGUUCCAAGCAGCAACUAGAGGCUGGAGACAUGACUUUGUAGGUUGGAACGGUCACAAACUACUCAGAAUUAACAGUAAAGUACAGUUCAAGACUCAGGGAAGGCUGCAUGCUUCAAGCUUCAAAACUCUUCAAUUGUUUACCUGAAUGCAGCUUUCGUGUAGACGAAGCUCUAAAGAACUAGACAAUAGCUCAAUUAUGUAACGAUAGUACGAAGCACUAGACGAUCGUGUAGACAAUAGUUGAGUAGAGCUAAACGAUCGAAUAGAUGACAGCUGAGGAACUAGACGGUCGUAUAGACGAUGAGAUGCGGAGCUAAACGAUCGUAUAAACUAUGCAAUAGGAACUAAAUGAUCCUGUACACGACACUUGAGUAAAUGUUAGAUGAUUGUAGAGAAAGAAAGAAAGAAGGAACACAAGUAUUUAACUAGUUCGGCCAAAGGCCUACAUCCACUGUGCAAAUCGGCAUAGUUUCUUUUAUUACUUCUUCUUUAAACUUCUUAUAGAAUAAAUGCCUUGCUCUCACUCUCUCAUUCUCAUUAUUCUCUCAUUCGUUUUCUUUCUAUACAGGCACUCAAUAUCAACAAAGAAGCUCUGGUGAUUACAAUAAACAUAAUAGAAAGAAGUCGACAACAUUCAACUGCUUGCAACUCCAUUUCCUGUCUUCUGUUCUUUCUGUAACUCAAACUCGAGGAGGUCCAAGCAUCGACCAAGCUUGCUUAAUGGGACUGUCUUGGUCAACAUAUCAACUUCAUUGUCUGAGGCACUCAUUGUCAACGAAGAAGCUCUGGUGGUUACAACAAACAUAACAGAAAGAAGUCAACAACAUUCAACUGCGUGCAACUCCAUUUCUUGUCUUCGGUUCUUGCUGUAACAAGGAAGUUGAUUUCACUUUCAUGUUUAUUGGAACAAAAUUAUAAUAUCUCUUUUAUUUGUGAUAAAGCGUUUAUCUCAAAGAAUGGUAUUCAUAUCUAUUCAGUAAUAAA
Molecule: non-coding RNA, 7937 nt
Organism: Benincasa hispida (wax gourd)
Lineage: Eukaryota; Viridiplantae; Streptophyta; Magnoliopsida; Cucurbitales; Cucurbitaceae
Source: RefSeq, a predicted model, not a curated record